This 254-nucleotide ribosomal RNA is filed under the name uncultured bacterium. RNAcentral describes it as "partial 16S ribosomal RNA". It matches the Rfam family "Bacterial small subunit ribosomal RNA", at positions 524 to 776 of the family's 1533-position model. The record is from RNAcentral.
UACGUAGGGUGCAAGCGUUUGUCCGGAAUUAUUGGGCGUAAAGAGCUCGUAGGUGGUUUGUCGCGUUGUUCGUGAAAACUCACAGCUCAACUGUGGGCGUGCGGGCGAUACGGGCAGACUAGAGUGUGGUAGGGGAGACUGGAAUUCCUGGUGUAGCGGUGAAAUGCGCAGAUAUCAGGAGGAACACCGAUGGCGAAGGCAGGUCUCUGGGCCACUACUGACGCUGAGAAGCGAAAGCAUGGGGAGCGAACAGG